GUGAAACGCAAACUGGUGUUCAUAGAGGUCUAGGUGUUCAUAGAGGUCUAGAUGUUCAUAAAGGUCUAGGUGUUCACAGAGGUCUAGAUGUUCAUAAAGGUCUAGGUGUUCAUAGAGGUCUAGGUGUUCAUAGAGGUCUAGGUGUUCAUAGAGGUCUAGGUGUUCAUAGAGGUCUAGAUGUUCAUAGAGGUCUAGAUGUUCAUAGAGGUCUAGGUGUUCAUAGAGGUCUAGGUGUUCAUAGAGGUCUAGGUGUUCAUAGAGGUCUAGGUGUCCAUAGAGGUCUAGGUGUCCAUAGAGGUCUAGGUGUCCAUAGAGGUCUAGGUGUCCAUAGAGGUCUAGGUGUUCAUAGAGGUCUAGGUGUUCAUAGAGGUCUAGAUGUUCAUAGAGGUCUAGGUGUUCAUAGAGGUCUAGGUGUUCAUAGAGGUCUAGGUGUUCAUAGAGGUCUAGGUGUUCAUAGAGGUCUAGGUGUUCAUAGAGGUCUAGGUGUUCAUAGAGGUCUAGAUGUUCAUAGAGGUCUAGAUGUUCAUAGAGGUCUAGAUGUUCAUAGAGGUCUAGGUGUCCAUAGAGGUCUAGGUGUCCAUAGAGGUCUAGAUGUUCAUAGAGGUCUAGGUGUUCAUAGAGGUCUAGGUGUUCAUAGAGGUCUAGGUGUUCAUAGAGGUCUAGAUGUUCAUAAAGGUCUAGGUGUUCAUAGAGGUCUAGAUGUUCAUAGAGGUCUAGAUGUUCAUAGAGGUCUAGAUGUUCAUAGAGGUCUAGAUGUUCAUAGAGGUCUAGGUGUCCAUAGAGGUCUAGGUGUUCAUAGAGGUCUAGGUGUUGGUAGAGGUCUAUUCACCUUCAGCAGUCG
Molecule: long non-coding RNA, 841 nt
Organism: Acanthochromis polyacanthus (spiny chromis)
Lineage: Eukaryota; Metazoa; Chordata; Actinopteri; Pomacentridae
Exons: 3
Source: RefSeq, a predicted model, not a curated record